AUUGAACGCUAGCGGGAUGCCUUACACAUGCAAGUCGAACGGAGUGGCGAACGGGUGAGUAAUGUAUCGGAACGUGCCCAGUAGCGGGGGAUAACUACGCGAAAGCGCAGCUAAUACCGCAUACUAUUGGAGCGGCCGUUAUCGGAUUUGCUACUGGGUGGGGUAACGGCUCACCAAGGCGACGAUCCGUAGCUGGUGUGAGAGGACGACCAGCCACACUGGAACUGCGACACGGCCCUGACUCCUACGGGAGGCAGCGGUGGGGAAUUUUGGACUAUGGGGGAGACCCUGAUCGAGCCAUCCCGCGUGUGCGAUGAAGGCCUUCGGGUUGUAAAGCACGUUUGGCAGGAAAGCGGUACCUGCAGAGUAAGCACCGGCUAACUACGUGCCAGCAGCCGCGGUAAUUC
Molecule: ribosomal RNA, 407 nt
Filed under: uncultured bacterium
Lineage: Bacteria
Description: partial 16S ribosomal RNA
Rfam family: Bacterial small subunit ribosomal RNA
Source: RNAcentral